UACGUAGGGGGCAAGCGUUAUCCGGAUUUACUGGGUGUAAAGGGAGCGUAGACGGUUAUGUAAGUCUGGAGUGAAAGCCCGGGGCCCAACCCCGGGACUGCUCUGGAAACUAUUGAACUUGAGUGCAGGAGAGGUAAGCGGAAUUCCUAGUGUAGCGGUGAAAUGCGUAGAUAUUAGGAGGAACACCGGUGGCGAAGGCGGCCUGCUGGACUGUGACUGACGUUGAGGCCCGAAGGCGUGGGGAGCAAACAGG
This 253-nucleotide ribosomal RNA is filed under the name uncultured Eubacteriales bacterium. RNAcentral describes it as "uncultured Clostridiales bacterium partial 16S ribosomal RNA". It matches the Rfam family "Bacterial small subunit ribosomal RNA", at positions 524 to 776 of the family's 1533-position model. The record is from RNAcentral. Lineage: Bacteria; Bacillati; Bacillota; Clostridia; Eubacteriales.